This 100-nucleotide ribosomal RNA is filed under the name Glossina brevipalpis. RNAcentral's name for it is "eukaryotic small subunit ribosomal RNA". The record is from RNAcentral. Lineage: Eukaryota; Metazoa; Arthropoda; Insecta; Diptera; Glossinidae.
AAUGAAGGUAUCAACGUGUAUUUUCUAGACAGAGAGGUCCGGGAAAACCACUGAACCACUUUCGUGCUUUGGAUUUUGAACUGAAACUGUUCAUAUGAAU